RNAcentral lists this small nuclear RNA (100 nucleotides) under Sarcophilus harrisii (Tasmanian devil). Lineage: Eukaryota; Metazoa; Chordata; Mammalia; Dasyuromorphia; Dasyuridae. The record is from RNAcentral.
GAAUUAGCAGCUCAUAUGCUAAAAUUGAACAAUAUAAAGAAUAGUAGCAUGUGUCCUAUGCAAGGAUGGCACACAAAUUUGUGAAUCAUUCCAUAUUAUA